This 1343-nucleotide ribosomal RNA is filed under the name uncultured bacterium. RNAcentral's name for it is "16S ribosomal RNA". It matches the Rfam family "Bacterial small subunit ribosomal RNA", at positions 28 to 1378 of the family's 1533-position model. The record is from RNAcentral.
GACGAACGCUGGCGGCGUGCUUAACACAUGCAAGUCGAACGGAAAGGCCCUGCUUUUGUGGGGUGCUCGAGUGGCGAACGGGUGAGUAACACGUGAGUAACCUGCCCUUGACUUUGGGAUAACUUCAGGAAACUGGGGCUAAUACCGGAUAGGAGCUCCUGCUGCACGGUGGGGGUUGGAAAGUUUCGGCGGUUGGGGAUGGACUCACGGCUUAUCAGCUUGUUGGUGGGGUAGUGGCUUACCAAGGCUUUGACGGGUAGCCGGCCUGAGAGGGUGACCGGCCACAUUGGGACUGAGAUACGGCCCAGACUCCUACGGGAGGCAGCAGUGGGGAAUAUUGCACAAUGGGCGGAAGCCUGAUGCAGCAACGCCGCGUGCGGGAUGACGGCCUUCGGGUUGUAAACCGCUUUCGCCUGUGACGAAGCGUGAGUGACGGUAAUGGGUAAAGAAGCACCGGCUAACUACGUGCCAGCAGCCGCGGUGAUACGUAGGGUGCGAGCGUUGUCCGGAUUUAUUGGGCGUAAAGGGCUCGUAGGUGGUUGAUCGCGUCGGAAGUGUAAUCUUGGGGCUUAACCCUGAGCGUGCUUUCGAUACGGGUUGACUUGAGGAAGGUAGGGGAGAAUGGAAUUCCUGGUGGAGCGGUGGAAUGCGCAGAUAUCAGGAGGAACACCAGUGGCGAAGGCGGUUCUCUGGGCCUUUCCUGACGCUGAGGAGCGAAAGCGUGGGGAGCGAACAGGCUUAGAUACCCUGGUAGUCCACGCUGUAAACGGUGGGUACUAGGUGUGGGGUCCAUUCCACGGGUUCCGUGCCGUAGCUAACGCUUUAAGUACCCCGCCUGGGGAGUACGGCCGCAAGGCUAAAACUCAAAGGAAUUGACGGGGCCCCGCACAAGCGGCGGAGCAUGCGGAUUAAUUCGAUGCAACGCGUAGAACCUUACCUGGGUUUGACAUGGAUCGGGAGCGCUCAGAGAUGGGUGUGCCUCUUUUGGGGUCGGUUCACAGGUGGUGCAUGGCUGUCGUCAGCUCGUGUCGUGAGAUGUUGGGUUAAGUCCCGCAACGAGCGCAACCCUUGUUCACUGUUGCCAGCACGUUAUGGUGGGGACUCAGUGGAGACCGCCGGGGUCAACUCGGAGGAAGGUGGGGAUGACGUCAAGUCAUCAUGCCCCUUAUGUCCAGGGCUUCACGCAUGCUACAAUGGCUGGUACAGAGAGUGGCGAGCCUGUGAGGGUGAGCGAAUCUCGGAAAGCCGGUCUCAGUUCGGAUUGGGGUCUGCAACUCGACCUCAUGAAGUCGGAGUCGCUAGUAAUCGCAGAUCAGCAACGCUGCGGUGAAUACGUUCCCGGG